UACGUAGGGGGCGAGCGUUAUCCGGAUUUAUUGGGUUUAAAGGGUGCGUAGGCGGGCUUUUAAGUCAGCGGUAAAAAUUCGGGGCUCAACCCCGUCCGGCCGUUGAAACUGGGGGCCUUGAGUGGGCGAGAAGAAGGCGGAAUGCGUGGUGCGGCGGUGAAAUGCAUAGAUAUCACGCAGAACCCCGAUUGCGAAGGCAGCCUUCCGGCGCCCUACUGACGCUGAGGCACGAAAGUGCGGGGAUCGAACAGG
Molecule: ribosomal RNA, 252 nt
Filed under: uncultured bacterium
Lineage: Bacteria
Description: partial 16S ribosomal RNA
Rfam family: Bacterial small subunit ribosomal RNA
Source: RNAcentral